This 71-nucleotide transfer RNA is filed under the name Camelus bactrianus (Bactrian camel). It matches the Rfam family "tRNA". From Rfam's summary of the family: Transfer RNA (tRNA) molecules are approximately 80 nucleotides in length. Their secondary structure includes four short double-helical elements and three loops (D, anti-codon, and T loops). Further hydrogen bonds mediate the characteristic L-shaped molecular structure. tRNAs have two regions of fundamental functional importance: the anti-codon, which is responsible for specific mRNA codon recognition, and the 3' end, to which the tRNAs corresponding amino acid is attached (by aminoacyl-tRNA synthetases). tRNAs cope with the degeneracy of the genetic code in two manners: having more than one tRNA (with a specific anti-codon) for a particular amino acid; and 'wobble' base-pairing, i.e. permitting non-standard base-pairing at the 3rd anti-codon position. Lineage: Eukaryota; Metazoa; Chordata; Mammalia; Artiodactyla; Camelidae. The record is from Rfam by way of RNAcentral. RNAcentral also lists the same sequence under 2 other names.
GAGGAUAUAGCUCAGUGGUACAGUGCAUGCUUAGCAUGUGUGAGGUCCUGGGUUCAAUCCCCAGUACCUCA